This 980-nucleotide ribosomal RNA is filed under the name uncultured bacterium. RNAcentral describes it as "bacterial SSU rRNA". It matches the Rfam family "Bacterial small subunit ribosomal RNA", at positions 521 to 1502 of the family's 1533-position model. The record is from RNAcentral.
UAAUACGGAAGGUGCAAGCGUUAAUCGGAAUUACUGGGCGUAAAGCGCGCGUAGGUGGUUUGUUAAGUUGGAUGUGAAAGCCCUGGGCUCAACCUAGGAACUGCAUCCAAAACUAACUCACUAGAGUACGAUAGAGGGAGGUAGAAUUCAUAGUGUAGCGGUGGAAUGCGUAGAGAUCUGGAGGAAUACCGAUGGCGAAGGCGGCCUCCUGGAUCUGUACUGACACUGAGGUGCGAAAGCGUGGGUAGCGAACAGGAUUAGAUACCCUGGUAGUCCACGCCGUAAACGAUGACAACUAGCUGUUGGAAGACAACGUCUUUCAGUGGCGCAGCUAACGUUUUAAGUUGUCCGCCUGGGGAGUACGGCCGCAAGGCUAAAACUCAAAUGAAUUGACGGGGACCCGCACAAGCGGUGGAGCAUGUGGUUUAAUUCGAUGCAACGCGAAAAACCUUACCUACUCUUGACAUACUUGGAAGCUCUUGUAAUGAGAGUGUGCCUUUUGGAACCAAGAUACAGGUGCUGCGUGGCUGUCGUCAGCUCGUGUCGUGAGAUGUUCCGUUAAGUCGGAUAACGAGCGCAACCCUUGCCCUUAUUUGCCAGCGAUUCGGUCGGGAACUAUAAGGGGACUGCCGGUGAUAAACCGGAGGAAGGUGAGGACGACGUCAAGUCAUCAUGGCCCUUACGAGUAGGGCUACACACGUGCUACAAUGGGGAAUACAGACGGACGCUAAGCCGCGAGGUGGUGCUAAUCCUAGAAAGUUUCUCGUAGUCCGGAUUGGAGUCUGCAACUCGACUCCAUGAAGUCGGAAUCGCUAGUAAUCGCGGAUCAGCAUGCCGCGGUGAAUACGUUCUCGGGUCUUGUACACACCGCCCGUCACACCAUGGAAGUGGAUUGCACCAGAAGUAGAUAGUCUAACCUUCGGGAGGGCGUUUACCACGGUGUGCUUCAUGACUGGGGUGAAGUCGUAACAAGGUAGCCG